Molecule: transfer RNA, 72 nt
Filed under: Camelus bactrianus (Bactrian camel)
Lineage: Eukaryota; Metazoa; Chordata; Mammalia; Artiodactyla; Camelidae
Also listed under: 1 other name
Rfam family: tRNA
About the family: Transfer RNA (tRNA) molecules are approximately 80 nucleotides in length.
Source: Rfam by way of RNAcentral
GAGAGUAUAGCUUGGUGACAGAGUGCAUGCUUAGCGUGCAUGAGGUCCUAGGUUCAAUCCCUAGUACCUUCA